RNAcentral lists this long non-coding RNA (221 nucleotides) under Sorghum bicolor (sorghum). RNAcentral's name for it is "long non-coding RNA (SBIC_LNC004893)". Lineage: Eukaryota; Viridiplantae; Streptophyta; Magnoliopsida; Poales; Poaceae. The record is from RNAcentral.
CGUCCAAAAUGGUUUCUUAGCCUAUGCUACAUUAUGUGCAAACCUUGCACCUAUCUUGCACCAAAACUAUCACUGUCUCCAAAUAGACCGAAGCAAGAUUUCGUAUGACACACGUCAUCUAGGAGUUCCAUCAUGUGCGUCGAGAUUGUUUUCCAAGCAUUUGGUAUGUUCCAUGCAAACCGUGCACCUAUCUAGCAUCAAGAUUAGCACUACCUCCAAAC